RNAcentral lists this ribosomal RNA (377 nucleotides) under Planococcus koreensis. RNAcentral describes it as "bacterial SSU rRNA". It matches the Rfam family "Bacterial small subunit ribosomal RNA", at positions 337 to 695 of the family's 1533-position model. Lineage: Bacteria; Bacillati; Bacillota; Bacilli; Caryophanales; Caryophanaceae. The record is from RNAcentral.
UCCUACGGGGGGGCUGCAGUAGGGAAUCUUCCGCAAUGGACGCAAGUCUGACGGAGCAACGCCGCGUGAGUGACGAAGGUUUUCGGAUCGUAAAACUCUGUUGUGAGGGAAGAACACGUACCAAGUAACUACUGGUACCUUGACGGUACCUCACCAGAAAGCCACGGCUAACUACGUGCCAGCAGCCGCGGUAAUACGUAGGUGGCAAGCGUUGUCCGGAAUUAUUGGGCGUAAAGCGCGCGCAGGCGGUCCCUUAAGUCUGAUGUGAAAGCCCACGGCUCAACCGUGGAGGGUCAUUGGAAACUGGGGGACUUGAAGGAAAAAGAGGAAAGUGGAAUCCACGUGGAGCUUCUCCCUUUUCUUACACCAUGCUGGCG